GCUUUUUUAGCUUAACAUAAAGUAUAAUACUGAAAAUAUUAAGAUAUUAGUAAUAAUUUAAAGCA
RNAcentral lists this transfer RNA (65 nucleotides) under Dendrothrips minowai. Its description in RNAcentral is "tRNA-Phe". Lineage: Eukaryota; Metazoa; Arthropoda; Insecta; Thysanoptera; Thripidae. The record is from RNAcentral.